RNAcentral lists this non-coding RNA (45 nucleotides) under Schistosoma margrebowiei. The record is from RNAcentral. Lineage: Eukaryota; Metazoa; Platyhelminthes; Trematoda; Strigeidida; Schistosomatidae.
AUCUAGCUGAUGAGUCCGAAAUAGGACAAAACGCGCAUCCUGUAU